RNAcentral lists this ribosomal RNA (900 nucleotides) under Pestalotiopsis microspora. Its description in RNAcentral is "LSU rRNA". It matches the Rfam family "Eukaryotic large subunit ribosomal RNA", at positions 38 to 965 of the family's 3401-position model. The record is from RNAcentral. Lineage: Eukaryota; Fungi; Ascomycota; Sordariomycetes; Amphisphaeriales; Sporocadaceae.
GCAUAUCAAUAAGCGGAGGAAAAGAAACCAACAGGGAUUGCCUUAGUAACGGCGAGUGAAGCGGCAACAGCUCAAAUUUGAAAUCUGGCCCUUGGGUCCGAAUUGUAAUUUGUAGAGGAUGAUUUUGGUGCGGUAUCUUCCGAGUUCCUUGGAACAGGACGCCUUAGAGGGUGAGAGCCCCGUACGGUUGAAUGCCUAGCCUCUGUAAAUCUCCUUCGACGAGUCGAGUAGUUUGGGAAUGCUGCUCUAAAUGGGAGGUAAAUUUCUUCUAAAGCUAAAUAUUGGCCAGAGACCGAUAGCGCACAAGUAGAGUGAUCGAAAGAUGAAAAGCACUUUGAAAAGAGGGUUAAAUAGCACGUGAAAUUGUUGAAAGGGAAGGAUUUGUGACCAGACUUUUUCUGGGCGGAUCAUCCGGGGUUCUCUCCGGUGCACUUCGCCCAGUAAAGGCCAGCAUCGGUUUUCGGCGUGGGAUAAAAGCAGUAGGAAUGUGGCUCUCUACGGGGAGUGUUAUAGCCUAUUGUAUAAUACCGCGCUGGGGACCGAGGUUCGCGCUUCUGCAAGGAUGCUGGCGUAAUGGUUAUCAAUCACCCGUCUUGAAACACGGACCAAGGAGUCGAACAUUUGUGCGAGUGUUUGGGUGUUAAACCCUCACGCGUAAUGAAAGUGAACGGAGGUGAGAGCCCUUACGGGUGCAUCAUCGACCGAUCCUGAAGUUUUCGGAUGGAUUUGAGUAAGAGCAUAACUGUUCGGACCCGAAAGAUGGUGAACUAUGCGUGGAUAGGGUGAAGCCAGAGGAAACUCUGGUGGAGGCUCGCAGCGGUUCUGACGUGCAAAUCGAUCGUCAAAUCUGCGCAUGGGGGCGAAAGACUAAUCGAACCAUCUAGUAGCUGGUUACGCGAA